UGCUGGAUCCUUGAUCAGAAGUUCAUCCUUCCUUCCCAGUGACAGAGACAUCCACUUAUCAAUUCGACCAUGAAAACCAGAUAGGAAGCUUUGGCGAUAAAAAUAAGAGAGAAAUUUUGGAAAUUUCCGAGCUAAGAAGUACAUUAAUUUCCUCUUUGAUGGCCAUUGUUCCCAUGUUCUCCUCAUCUCUUCUUUUGUCAUACCCAGCUCAUAUGGAUUAAUCAUAGGCGCAAUCAUCACAGCACCAGCAAUUCUAUCAGGGAUGUAUUUGAGUGUGGCCCAAGCAUGCAUGCUUCCACUUGAGUAACCCAGCACCCAAAACUUGUUAUUGAUACCAAUAGCAUUUGCUAGGUGGAGCAUAUCAAGGGCUGAUG
Molecule: unclassified non-coding RNA, 374 nt
Filed under: Hevea brasiliensis (rubber tree)
Lineage: Eukaryota; Viridiplantae; Streptophyta; Magnoliopsida; Malpighiales; Euphorbiaceae
Source: RNAcentral